CACCCGGAACUUAGGGUCCGCGGCGCCCCGCCCACUUGGCCGCCACGCCCACCCCCGUGGGGCGCGGGCCCGUACCCCUCAACUCUCGCGAGACGUGGUUUCCUGGGGCCCACGGGAGGUUUAAUCCCCGGCGUCCGUGCUCAGGCGCCUCUCAGGCCCUACGCGGGGUUUCUUGUUUAAUACUGAGCUGAAAAGUAGUGUGAAAUUACGCAGCCGUGGGUUGCACGACCCUAGGAACUUUUAAGUUUGACUUUCACUUAGGACUUUUCACAUAUUAAAAGUUGAAGUUGGUCCAGCUUGAGUCAGACUCAGAAUCUGACCCCAGACCCAGUCCGGUUUCUAAGUCAGACCCAGCCUGACUCCAGCCAGUUUCGGGACCCAGUCCGGACAAAAGAAAUGCUCAAAUGAAGUCUGAAAGCUCAGGAUCCGAUCCGAGGGGGACUUGCUCACGACCUCCAGAGCCAGUGAGACAGCCUGAGCUCGGGGGCUCAGAAGGCGAAGUUUAUGGUUCAAAACCAAAGAGACUACCCUAAGGAAAAGACUUGUAAUCGUAUUGAAAAUAUACAUGAUUUUUAAGAAGAAUGACAAUAUUUGUUCGCCUCAUCCAGCCACAUGGUAAAUCUCUCCAUUUAGCCAAACUACAAGGAGCAUUGAACGUUAUUCGGACAGCGACACUCGUCUCUUCACGUGAGGGAGGAAAGCGGAGAACUCUGAGUGAAGCCAGACAGUCUCUGCGUGGAGCGGGCUGGCGAUCUUACGGAGUUUUUGGAAUCGUGGACAGAGGACUCGGCAGUCUCUCAGAAGGUGAGGUGUGCUGAGAUGAUCUGCAGCAGUGCGGUUACACCGCGAGAUGUUCCCGAUUAAUAACCCGCAAAGUUCAGAGUGAUACUGUUUCUUUAGCAACAGGAAAAGUCUUUUGUUCAAGUAGAUUGUGCUUUUUCACAACACUCAGAACGACAAAAAGCCCUCACAUCAAUCCUGAGGAAUGAGAAAAAUGGCAUUUGCAGCAACAUGGAUGGACCUGGAGAUUGUCAUU
This is a non-coding RNA of Vicugna pacos (alpaca), 1036 nucleotides long. The record is from RefSeq and is a predicted model, not a curated record. Lineage: Eukaryota; Metazoa; Chordata; Mammalia; Artiodactyla; Camelidae.